UAAAAUCAAUUGGGUAGUUUCCUAGGUCAAAAAUAAAUUAUUUUGAUAUUUGAAUAUAAUAAAAUAUCCCAAAAUAAUCGUAUUUUCAUUCAUUCAUUUGACGAUAUACUUAUUUAUUUAAUUUUUCUUGCUAUUUUUUGCGUAAUAAGUAUGCUAUUUGACGCAAAAAAAUUAUGACGUCAUAAUUUGCAAUGUCAUACAAAAUUCAUAGAAAAGUAACGUUUUUGACAUUUCGAUAAAAGUAUUGAAUUUGACUAGUAGUAUAAUACCCUAUUCAAUGCGAUGCGGAGUGACGGCGGCUAUGUCCUACGUGCAUGCGAAUCGUUUCGUUUUGUUUCUACGCAACGUCACGCCUUUAAUCCCCGAAGGGGUAGGCAGAGGUGCACAUUACGGCACGUAAUGCCGCUAUACAAUGUACACCCACUUUUCACCAUUUGUGUUAUAAGUCCCAUGUAAUAGGGGGUGAGUCUAUUGCCAUAUACCGGACACAUUUCUAGACUCCGUGCUACUACUGAGAAAUUUUCGAAAAACCGAAAAAAGCCCAGUAUCUUUCCGACCCGGGAAUCUAACCCGACACCCCUUAUCCGACAGUCGUACUUGCA
This is a long non-coding RNA of Spodoptera frugiperda (fall armyworm), 602 nucleotides long. RefSeq lists it as uncharacterized. The record is from RefSeq and is a predicted model, not a curated record. The transcript has 3 exons. NCBI's taxonomy places the organism in Eukaryota, Metazoa, Arthropoda, Insecta, Lepidoptera, Noctuidae.